This 471-nucleotide long non-coding RNA is filed under the name Zostera marina. Its description in RNAcentral is "long non-coding RNA (ZMAR_LNC003948)". Lineage: Eukaryota; Viridiplantae; Streptophyta; Magnoliopsida; Alismatales; Zosteraceae. The record is from RNAcentral.
AAACUUUUAGAACCUUUAGAGAGUUUCAAUACGUGUCUUCACUUGUCUUCAUCUUUUUCCAUCCUUGCAACUGUCGUCUUUUUCCAUCCCUGCAACUGUCAUCUUUUUCUUCAAUCACCUUUCCCAUCUAGUAACCCAUCACAUUUCCUCUUUCAUUUCCUAGAUUGCAUUUGUCAUCCGACGAUAUAACCUUAUGAUUUCCCUUCUAGAUUAAAUCCCUAGUUUUCCAUCCUCAAACGGGAAGAAAAUUAGUUAAAUCUGAAAGUAACUCAAAACGAAAAAGCUUCUUGAUCUGCGAGCGAGGUCAUACGGCGAUAAGGAAAAGUGGCGAGAAGCUCUCUUCCCCUCCUCUGAACCCGAAAAGGAGCAACGGAAUCACGACCAUAAAAGAAAUAAGAAAAAAUCGUAUAAGUUUCAGGAGGCAAAAAGAAGUGGAGAGAUAGGGAGUUGCGGGUGAGGAUCUAAGACGAC